GACGAACGCUGGCGGCGUGCUUAACACAUGCAAGUCGAACGGAAAGGCCCUGCUUUUGUGGGGUGCUCGAGUGGCGAACGGGUGAGUAACACGUGAGUAACCUGCCCUUGACUUUGGGAUAACUUCAGGAAACUGGGGCUAAUACCGGAUAGGAGCUCCUGCUGCAUGGUGGGGGUUGGAGAGUUUCGGCGGUUGGGGAUGGACUCGCGGCUUAUCAGCUUGUUGGUGGGGUAGUGGCUUACCAAGGCUUUGACGGGUAGCCGGCCUGAGAGGGUGACCGGCCACAUUGGGACUGAGAUACGGCCCAGACUCCUACGGGAGGCAGCAGUGGGGAAUAUUGCACAAUGGGCGGAAGCCUGAUGCAGCAACGCCGCGUGCGGGAUGACGGCCUUCGGGUUGUAAACCGCUUUCGCCUGUGACGAAGCGUGAGUGACGGUAAUGGGUAAAGAAGCACCGGCUAACUACGUGCCAGCAGCCGCGGUGAUACGUAGGGUGCGAGCGUUGUCCGGAUUUAUUGGGCGUAAAGGGCUCGUAGGUGGUUGAUCGCGUCGGAAGUGUAAUCUUGGGGCUUAACCCUGAGCGUGCUUUCGAUACGGGUUGACUUGAGGAAGGUAGGGGAGAAUGGAAUUCCUGGUGGAGCGGUGGAAUGCGCAGAUAUCAGGAGGAACACCAGUGGCGAAGGCGGUUCUCUGGGCCUUUCCUGACGCUGAGGAGCGAAAGCGUGGGGAGCGAACAGGCUUAGAUACCCUGGUAGUCCACGCUGUAAACGGUGGGUACUAGGUGUGGGGUCCAUUCCACGGGUUCCGUGCCGUAGCUAACGCUUUAAGUACCCCGCCUGGGGAGUACGGCCGCAAGGCUAAAACUCAAAGGAAUUGACGGGGCCCCGCACAAGCGGCGGAGCAUGCGGAUUAAUUCGAUGCAACGCGUAGAACCUUACCUGGGUUUGACAUGGAUCGGGAGUGCUCAGAGAUGGGUGUGCCUCUUUUGGGGUCGGUUCACAGGUGGUGCAUGGCUGUCGUCAGCUCGUGUCGUGAGAUGUUGGGUUAAGUCCCGCAACGAGCGCAACCCUUGUUCACUGUUGCCAGCACGUUAUGGUGGGGACUCAGUGGAGACCGCCGGGGUCAACUCGGAGGAAGGUGGGGAUGACGUCAAGUCAUCAUGCCCCUUAUGUCCAGGGCUUCACGCAUGCUACAACGGCUGGUACAGAGAGUGGCGAGCCUGUGAGGGUGAGCGAAUCUCGGAAAGCCGGUCUCAGUUCGGAUUGGGGUCUGCAACUCGACCUCAUGAAGUCGGAGUCGCUAGUAAUCGCAGAUCAGCAACGCUGCGGUGAAUACGUUCCCGGGGCU
Molecule: ribosomal RNA, 1346 nt
Filed under: uncultured bacterium
Lineage: Bacteria
Description: partial 16S ribosomal RNA
Rfam family: Bacterial small subunit ribosomal RNA
Source: RNAcentral